Long non-coding RNA from Panicum virgatum (switchgrass), 1795 nucleotides. RefSeq lists it as uncharacterized. Lineage: Eukaryota; Viridiplantae; Streptophyta; Magnoliopsida; Poales; Poaceae. The transcript is spliced from 3 exons. The record is from RefSeq and is a predicted model, not a curated record.
UUUAACCAAUAAAUUGCAUUUCAACCAAUUAAUUGCAUUAUAUUUAACCAGUAUGUAUUCACAAAUGUACUAUAUCGUCAUCUAUAGCCUAUGGGCCGGAUUCAACAAAAAGCCCAGCAAAAGAAAGCCAAAAUUAGGAAUCGCUCCCACCCUAGCCCGAGCCGGCGAGCCCCCUUCGGUCCUUCCCAGUCUGUCCGCCCCCCUCCCUACCGCCGCCGUCUGCGCCCCAGACGGCCAGACCCAGCCAGUGCGCCUCCGCCUCCGGCCCUCCGUCCUCCGCCCAGCGCCCCAGCCCCAACGUCCGGCUCCGGCGAUCGGCUUCCGAGCUCCCCAACUUCAGCAGGGCUGCAGCCCACAGGGGAGGUAGUACUGAGGGGUGGGGGGCAGCCGCCAGCCGGGACAUCCAGGGGCGGCGAGUGCGGAGCGCCCCAGCACCAGCGCGGCAGCGCCCCAGCGGCCUGCGGCGCCGAGUACUGCUACGCAAGCCAGCAGCCCAGCAAGGUUCAGGGGCAAGUUCCUGAAGCGGGGAGUGAAGGAGGUCAUCAGGAGCAACAGCAGUGGCCCUGAAUUUCAAUCUUUUCUCCUUUGUCAACUAGACCUAAUAUGCAGUACACAUCCCAUGGGGAAAUAGAAACCACGUGGCCCUGAAUUGUAAAGGUCCUAUCUGCUGCAUUGAAUUUCAACAAGACUCUCCACUAGCAUACGUUGAAUAGGCAUCGAUGGAAUAUUAAGGAACUUGCCUAAUCCUAUUUUUUCAACUAUAUCCCUUUGAUCCUUUGUCAAUUUCCUGCAUAAUGCAGCAAAUUUUCCUGGCAUACACACGGUUGCAACCUGGUUAUCAAACAUAUAAAAAACAACAAAAUAUAUCAAAUUAAAAAAUGACUCUGAAGGCCUUGUCCAUAAUAUAUUACAAACAAGAACGUACCAUCUUUGACCAGCACACAACUCGAUUCACCAACUCUAUGGACUGGUCAAUCCCUUAAACAAUCUAAUGGGAGUGGCUUUAUUCUGUAUUCUCCAUCUCCUUCAGUUUCACCCAGAGAUGAAUCUAAAGCAAAGUCUGCUGAUAAGAUACAGGGAUGGGGAUAGAGGGCCAAAGCAUUGCUCAGCAACCUCGGUGGCAGGACAUAUUCCGGCUUACCUUUCCAGCCGUGGCUGACGGACCGCGGAAGCCGAUGUGGCGGACCACCGGGAUGCACAACACGCGGUGGCCGCCGGCAAGACGCCGUCGAGUGCAGGGGCGGCGUAGAAGGCGGCGGCAGCCUCUAUGUAGCGAUGGAACCCUAAUCCAUGCCCAUGUUGAAUCCAUCUCCGAGAGUAUAGGAACCAGGCUAACAGAAUCAUGAAUCUCGGAACGAGGGCGGCGUAGGAGGCGGCGGCGGGCGAUUCUAUUUAUCGCGCGCGCUACUGCACGCGAUUUCGUCGCAGAAGCUCUUCGCGGAGCUCGUUGUCGGUCCGUCUGGAUUUCAGAGGCCCAUUUAGCCUGGCGGCCCAUAUUAAUCUCCCGAUUCGCCCUUCCUUUUUCCUGGAUUUCCUGCCUUUUCGGCUUCUCAGUUAGGGUUUGUGCCGCCGAGGCGAUUCUCAUUCGCCCCAUUCCUCGCGGAUUCGGAUGUCUCCGUCCCAGCAUCUGUGAAGGGUCUACCAUGAAUUCUGAAGCCAAGCUUUUAUGUUGUGGCACCUCAAGAAUGUCAAAGUAACUGGGUUCUAUGAGAUGAUACUUUUUGCAGUUCAAGUAGUUUACAUGUCUGCAGCUCUGAAAAACUAAGCGUACUGUUUAUUACUCUAUUUGGUUACA